This 996-nucleotide long non-coding RNA is filed under the name Equus asinus (donkey). RNAcentral's name for it is "lncRNA (ENSEASG00005024413.1)". Lineage: Eukaryota; Metazoa; Chordata; Mammalia; Perissodactyla; Equidae. The record is from RNAcentral.
GGAGCACUCAGCGCCACUCUGAGGGAAGCAUUCCGGGGAGGCAGCAAGACACAAAGAAAGGACUGGGACCACAGCUGGCUUCCGAGGGUGGGGAGCAGAGAAACGAUGCUGGCAUCCCACCACUGAGAGGGGCAUCUUCAGCCCUGAGGAGGAGGUGUCCCCACAGCAAGCUUGAGGACAGAUGAGACUGUGGGCCCUUGCUAACAAGCCCUUGGCCACAUGGUGGGGACAACUUUUGAGACCUGUCCUAGAGUGUGAGCUCUAGUAGGGUGCCUGGCAGCCUGUGAGAACACAGCUCUAGCUGCUGCGGUUUCCCUGGAACCAGAACCCUACGGAUGCCGUUGAGAUGCUGGCUGAGCCGUUCUUCCACCGCCUGCCUCGGUUCCACGUCGCUGAGUCCCACCUCCUGGGAGCCGUGGAUGCUGAGAAUAUCAUCAGGAGACCCUCAGCAUUGUGCUGAGUUUAGAUUCACCAGGGACCUUCUCAGCUGGUAAAUCCCACUUGGAUUGGGAGCCUCAGAUUGAGAGCGCCCCAGGGCAGGGCCCGUUGGGUCUGACUCGGCUCCCCCAGCCCCGAUGCUGGUCUGUUUUGGAGGAGGGCUCUGAACUCCACUUGACAACCAGGGGGCAGGGAAGGAGUCGCCUGGAGUCUGUGAUGAGGUUCUCAGCUGAGGCUCUCAACCCACGGUCCCAACACUUCCCCCCGCCCCCCAGCCUCUUCCUACAAUUUGACACAGUUGUCAACAUCCCUUUUUUAUAAGGAAUAUUUUGUAAACACCCCUUUACUCUUCUGAAAUGAAAUGUAUACAUAACAGAACUGACCUGUGUUACCUAUAUAAAAGAAAAGUUACUUAUAACAAAGUAAGUUAAAAUAAUAGGCUUUUAAAUAUAUAAAUACACUGUCCAACCACACUAGCAGAAUCAAUGAAAUAGAUGCUGGCACUUAUGUGUGGAAUCGUCAUAAAUGUAUGUGUGGUUUUGUGAUGUGAUGUUUUGC